ACAAGAACAGUCUUUAUCAAUGGAAAUAGCCUGACUGGAGACAAUACAAUCACUUAGGUAAAUAAGCACUGGAACCAGGAGUAUUUGAACAUAAAUUGUGCUCUCACCCAGCCACUGUGCAGAGGUUAACUCAAUGGGCUUUCAUCCCAAAAAUGCUGAAGAGUGUUAAAGAGCAUAAAAAUCUAGCAUUGCACCUUUGCUUCAAACUGCCAACAUUUAAGUAGCAUCGUUUAGUAAUAAAUGAGAUGCCCCUUGUGCUGGAAUGUGCACGGACUGUUUGCCUGUGGUAAAGAUGAGAGACAUGAUCUCCAAAAACACUUUAAACUGUCUCUUUCAGUCAUGAGCCACUGCUCUUUGAAACAAUUCCUGUGUGGUUCUGAGCACAUCCUGAGAAAAUGUUCUGGUUGUCCUACUUCUUCUAAUGUAUUCUCUAAUAAGGGCCCCUUUUAAUCUGUGUUUUAAAUCUCCUUUAAUCUGGUCAUGGUUUCACACUUUGAGAUGUUUCCCUGAGGCUUGCUCUCACCUCAGAAGAGGCUUGAAAACAACCAAAACUUGCUGCUUGCUUUCUCAGACAUGUUUGUGACUCUGUUUCUGAAGUCCAUGUUGGUCCUGACAGACAUUGCAGACUCCAUCCUAAAUCCAAGAAUGUCUUUGUAGCUGGCAAUGAAGUGUGGCACUUUUGGAAUUACUUGGUGAAGGUCUGAUGAGACAUACAGUUGGUUGUUCCCAUUUUGCAACCUGGGUGACUUAAGCAAAGUCAAUCCCAAGAACCCAUUUGAAGUCCAAAACAGCAUCUGGAAAAGAUCCCAAACAAUGUGGUAUGCCUGUGAGAAACAACAACAGUGCCCCAAAGCUCACUGUUUUCUUUGUCACCCCACCAGAACAGGGUGACAAUAAGGUGAAAGAGCAAGGCCACCUCCAGUGGAGGUGUAUCACUGCCUAGCUGUGCAGGCUUGGGAAGAGCACUGUGCUUGCCAGAUGUGCUCAGUGCAUUGCUAAUGACAUUGGCAAACCACUCUGGGUCUGUUUGUGUGUGGGUGUGUGAGGAGGACAUCCAGGAGUUGUCUUAUCUGACUCUGUCACCAGGUAACUUGCCUAAACUAAACCUAUGCUCUCUUAGUGCCAAUGGCAAGGUAGGCAGGCUGAUAACUAUAUUCUGAUCUGGGAGACAAAGAUUAAAAAACUACUUUAUAACGUUAUUAGCUACUAUUUAGUUAGCUGAACAUGUGAUAAAACUUUCCUCUCAUUUAAAAAAUAAGUCAAUUGUAAAAUAUUUUCAAAUUAUAGCACAUUUAAGACAAUCUUAAUUCCCUUCUAGGUUUAAUAUUCAUAUCUAACACUUUCCCAACUUCUUCAAUUUGCCUAUUGCCCUGAAUUUUGUCCCUCUUCAUUUCCAGCCUAGCCUGUUUGACUCCUCCUCAGACAACCUGGGCUACCCAGGCACCACUGUAGUGCUGCUGGCCUUAUUGAGGAGCAUUUGCUGCCUUUAGAAAUCACAUUAGUAGCCACUAACACCAACCAUUACUGAUUAGCAUGAUUUUUAUGAAAGUAAAAUAUCUAAAUGCUGUAUUGCUGACCUUCAGUGCUUUGAAAACACCCAAGUUCAAAACUUCCUUGCUUCAAGUGUGGAAAUCUCCAAGUGGAGUGAAGCCACCAACCCGAAUGUCUCCCAGGCAUAAGGUAUUAUGGUAGGCAUUGCUGUAGAAGAAUACAACCUGCACAGAUAUUUGGAGAAUGUCCAGCUGCUUUGAUUUAUACUCAAGUUGUGCUGACAGUCAAGUGAUCUGGAGAACAAAGAGAUUUUUUAAAGCAAUUUUUUAGGUUGUUUGGUAAAAAAAAACUUGGUUGGUGUAACACAACCCCGUUGAUGCUGGUGUCAGGUGUCACAUGCAAUUUUGCUUCACCUCUUUCUAAUUAAUGGUGAUUUCUGCAGAUUAAAAUUGCUCUUAUAAGUGCUGAAAAGCAGUCUUCCAUGUUAAACCAUGGAAGGUAUGGUCUGCCAAUCCUGCAGUACAGUGGACAGUCAGAGGGACAAAGCACUGAAAAUACAAGCCUGGCAUGCAUCUGGGUGGUGUAAUCAGGCUUCACCCCAACCUCUUCCUACUGUUGCUGUAGUCUGAAAAAUUGUGCAAAUGCAUUGUUGCUGAAUAAAGGAAGGAAAACGAAACAAGUGCAGAGAACAGAGCCACCAGCUCACAUUAGUAUUCUGCCCUGGUGAAAUAAACCAGAUCCUUCGCACUAAACAGGCACAAACGAAGAUCUCCUCAGGAAUAGAGCUGCUUGAAUAGGAAUGGCUCUAAUCUCAACAGUUCCACAAAUCCCCUUUGAGAAAAGGAAUUUUGGGACUCCUUAAAUUUUUAAUUGUUCCUCAUUUUCCGUGAAACAGCACUGUGCCUCAAGCACUCUAAUAACAUUCCUGGCUUGCUCUGCUGUAACAAUCUGUAAAAACUCAUCCAGUCAGAUGAUUUGGAGUUUAAUAUCAAAUUGCUUUGGAGAACAUUCAUGGUUGGAAGUGCAUAAUAAUAUGUUUUAUUAUUGCUGUAACAAAAAAAAAAAAAAAAGAAAAGCUAGAAGAGAAGUGGCUUGCUUUCAUCCAUUGGGGAUCUCUGCUUUGUUAUUACAUUCUAUGCAGUGAUAAUUAAUGUUUCCAUGACCAGCACUAAAAAAAUGUUCCCUGGCUAAAAUUUUCAAAAGUAACAAAAGUAACUAAUGAUUUGAGGUUUCUCUGCUUUUAUGUAUUCAGUUUGAAAUACUUGGAAGAUGGACCUGGUUUUCAGAAAAUGCUAAGCACUGAUUUUCUGCAGAUGGUCAAGCUCCCUUUCAAAACCUUUAGACCCUGUCAUUUUAAGACCAUGGUAGAUACUGUUUACUGGUGACAAAAGUAUGCCAAUUCAUGCAUUAGUAACAGAGCACCAGAUUAGAUUCCAAAUAAAUCCAUUUCAAAGGAAAAUAUUUUAAAAUUAUACCUUCCUUGUACCUGCAAGAACACACUUCUCAACCCUUGGGAUGAUUGGAAAUUACUUAAUGAACAAACAAACAAGCAAAAGACGGUAGGCCAGGGACCGGUUCUAGCAGUUGCUUUGUAUUACUCAGUAAAAGAAAGAUGAAGAAUGCAUACUACAGUCUUGGGUGGUGCUUGGACAUGUCAGAGUACUUUUGAAUGUCACUGCAUGUGUUAUGCCUGCCUGAAGCUGUCCUGGAGCCCAGCUGUCCUUUUUCUUGCAGGAGGAGUCACUAUUAACACCUAUGCAAAGAGGGGAACCUGCAAACAAAUCAGAAAGUGUAUUUUUCAGCCUUGAUGUCAGUGCUUAUUCAAAGUACAGAACAAUGGAGAAAAGAGCAUCAUAGAUGUUCUUAUUUCAUCCACCCAAAUGACUCAGCUUCCAAAAAAAAUCAGAAAGGCUUCUAGGUCUUUUCCCCAGCUCAGCUGCAGUGGAGGAGGCAGAGGAGAGCAAAGGACUGGAAAGCAAGUAACCAGCUCCAUCUGAGCUCUUCCUCCACCAAAGGGAUUACACUGGGGUAUCCUGAUUUCAUGCCUCUCUAUUUCUAGUCAUGUUCAGUUAGCCCAGAUUAAAAAUACUUGGACCUAUAUUGUCCAACUCAGCCCAGUCACUUUACCACCCUUGCCCUUUCUUUUCUUUCCAGGGACUGCCCUUCAAAGAAAGGGCAGGUAUGCUGGAUGUUCAGUCAACAUUUCAAAAAUAUAUUUUUCUUCUUAUACCUGAGGUUCCUGCAUUUUUAAGUGCAACUUUGCCUUCUAUUUAUUAGGCAAGAUAGAACUUCUGGUCCUGUAAAAUUAACUGCUUGUGAAAAAACAGGUCACCGUGCUGUGACUGAUUUUACAUGCAAGCAAAACUGCCAGAGGUCAGUGAAGGCAAAGCAGGGCAGACUUGGUAGGUGAAGGUGCCCAGCAGGAGCUGGCUGGCCUGCUGAAAAGGGUUCCUCUAGUCUUAAUCCUGAACCUGUGCAUGUUGGGAUUAUUUUUGUUAGACACCAGACAAGACCCUGCAUUUGCUCUACCUUUUCCAGGAUUUUGCACUUCUGCUUUGCAGAGAUCUCUGUCCCUAUUGCAAGUCCCUCUUGCUAAAUUUUGUGGUUUAUCUAGUACAUGCUCAUCAGCCUUUUGCUUCAAGGUAUCCUUUGCUGACAGGAUUUAUCCACAGACACCAAGACUUCCUCAGCAGGAUAAUGAAAGUGCUUAUUGUUUUACUCCUGCUCUCUUUCCUUGUUAUUAUAUUAGGUUUUCCAUCACUAAUUAUUCUUCUCUGCCAAGCAGAAGGAGAGAGUAGUGUUCAUCUUGCUCUGAAUGGAAAAAGACUGGAAGUAAGGAGGCAGCAAUGAGUAUUCCCACUUCUAAUGACUGCUCUGAUUCCCAUGGGCAAUCAUCUGGCUGUGUGUCACCAUGGCCUAGAAAAAGCAGCCUAGCACAGGAAAUUCCUACCACUGUAGCUGCACCUCAGUUCCACAGACAUGCAGAUUUCUGGGCACAGAUGCUGGGUCUGGGUCAGAACUGAAAAGUGGUGUUUGCCUUGCUGAACUCCAAUUCAGUUUUACAACCCCUGACACUGAACUUUGGUAUGUGGCUGAUGCUGUUAGGAGUGAGGGAAGAAUAUGUACAUUGACUAACUUCAUCAAACUUAUUAAGUUCCAUCUGGAAUGAAAAAGUUUUAUUUAAGGUUUAUGCCUGCAUUUACUUUCUCAGAAUUGCUCUAGGCUACAGAGAGGAUAAACUCUGGACAAGGGAGUGGGAGAGAGUGCUUGGGGCCAGAGCUGCAGAGGUUGCCAGGGUCAGACAAUUUGCAACACAAAAGUAGGAUCAGCCAGGGACACACAGGCAGCAAGGAUCCAGCAGAUAUGGGCUAAGGAACCAUAGUUAAUGUGGCAGCUCAGGACUGGCUGGUGAAGCAACCACGGUGGCCCAUAGCACAGAAAGUGGGCAGUGUCACCCAGGAGUGGCAGACUGAGGGCACUGUGCACAGCAUGCCCCGCAGCGCUGCAUUGUUGGCAGCACACACCCCAGGCUGGCGGCAUGCCUGGGAAAUAAACACUCAAAGAUGAAAGCAAGCCAAUGUGGGAGGCAGCAGCCAGCUCAGUUUCCAGCCUCUGAUCACCUUCUUCCAAGUGGUGUUUCCUCACAGCAUCCCCUUGUCCUCUUACAAUGCACAGGUCAUUGCCCUCCACCAGGAAAAUUAAUUGCCUUAUGAAAGAAGGGGUUGCCCAGAAAUUUCCCCAGCAAAUUGCUUUUCAUUCAAGGGUGUGUGCAGACCCUGAGAAAGGAAGUGACCUGAUUUCCUCCAAUAGGUUCAUUGCAGCCUCAUAGUUUGGAGCACCCACAACGGUCCAUGGCUUUCUCAUACCCUUCCCAGGCUUACUGACAGAGCUCUUCAGAAGCCCAACAAUUAGUACAGAUGCCCAAUUAGUACAGCAAAGCCACAGCAAUUUCCAUCAUGCUUUGAGGGCUCAGAGCUGGUCCCUUACACCAAUGCUUCCUCACAAAAUCAAAGUAUGGCUUACAGCUGUGUGGGUCAGGUUGGUGAAGCCUGGGCAUGAUAACCACCAGCUGCAGUCUUCAUCCUGCUGAGCUCUGCCCACAGCCUAAUUCUGCUGGUAUUAGAAAGUUUUCUUCUUGUUUAUAGCAUGUAGCAGCCUAUUUCCUUUCUUUCCCUCCAUUCUACCAUCAGAUCUUCAAAAUGAAACAAAGCAGUUGAUUAUUUCCCUCCAGCCAGUUAUAACUUCUUUGCCCUAGUAGCAGGCCAGAAUUUUCAUGUAGGUGUUUUCAUUAGAUGAAAACUGUUGGCUCAUCCUUAAUCAUGACAAAAAUGGUAAUAAUAAGAAGACCCACUCUACAAAUAUAAAGAAAUGCAGCAAAUCUGAGGGUUUAUGUUACUAAAACUUUAUACUUCUGAUAAGUUUUAGGUAUCUAGCAUAAAAAUUUUUUACUGCAUAUUGGAAAUGAAAAUGCUACCAUUUGCUAUAGAAUUAAUUAAAAAGUGGAACAGCCUAUAAGUUGAGGUUAAAACCGACUUUUGGAAUUUUUAUACAAGUGGAGUCAGUGCUGGAUAACUGCAGAAAAGACUGUUGUGGUUUAACCCCUGGCUUCAUCCUCUUUAUAUCUUCCCUUCAGGCAUUUAUACACAUCAAUAAGAUCCUCUUCUAAGCCUUCUAUUCUCCAGCCAGAACAGCUCCAUCUCCUCCAGCCCCUCUUCACAGGAGAGGUGCUCCAAUCCCCUAAUACCUUAGCGACCCUCUGUUGAACUCUCUCCAGUAGCUUUUUAUCUCCCUUUUACUGGGGAGCUUAGCAGGUUCAGCAUCACCAGUGCUGAGGACAGGAGCAGAAUCAAUUCCCUCAACCUGCUGGCAGCACGCAGCCCUGGAUACUGUUAUCCUCUGCAUCAAGGAUGUGUUGUUGGCUUAUGUUCAACUUGGUGCCUGUCAGGACCCUCAGGUCCUUCCCACAAAGCUGCUGGGACAGCCCCCUGCAUGUACAGGCACUAGGGCUGCUGCUCCCCAGGUGCAGGACUUUGCAUUUCCCUGUGUUGAACGGUUAAGCAGAUCCUGGCUAUGCUGGCUCUGUAUUUAUUUUGCCUGUUGUUGCUACCUGUUAGCACAUUCUUUCUUGCACUGUUUAUGUAGGACUGCCAAGUGGCAAUUUAGCUGCAUUUGUGCAGAGUGCACAUGAAUCCUUCAUGAGUGCUACCCUGUUCUAGAAAUGUAAAUUCACACAUUGGCCUCAUCAGUAUCAUUUUGAAUGCAACUAACAUCAAUUAUGUAUGUUUCAUUAUAUUUUUCAUCCUUUUCCAAGGUGCAGAAUUGCUUAUAGAGUGUAUUAUUUCACCUUUGGGUUUUUUUGCUGGUAAUGUAUAUGCUAGGCCAUGUUCUGUAGGCUGAAGUAUUUUAAGCUGUCUCCAAGUUAAUCCAGGGUGGUUAGCACAGAUUCUGCUCACAGGUCAAGUGCUGCACCUUCCCCUGAAGCACUUGGUGGCUUCCACUGAACUUGUUUUAAUUUGUUGACAUUUUGUUUGCAUUUUGGGACCCCAAACUGGAUACACCAUUCCACAAGCAGCUAAGCAGAAAUAAAUAAUCACUUCCUUUGGCCUACUGGCUAUGCUUCCAGCGGUAUGACCUGGGAUGCUCUUGGCCGCCUUCACUGCCAGGACACACUGCUGUCCAACAAGACCCCGCAUCCCUUCCUGCAAAGCUGCUCCACAGCCCAUCAAUCCCCACCCGGUACUGUUGCAGAGGCCUGUUCCUUCCCAAGUGCAGGACUUGUCAAAUUUCCUUGUAUUUGUCCUUGCUGAGUUUAUAGUCUUCGUGUCAGGUCAUUCCCCCGAGCGGUCUGGAUGCAUUUAAAUGGCAGCUCUGUCCUUCAGCACUCACUGCUCCUGCUUCAGCAGUGCCUGCCUUGUUGAGCACAAACUCUGUCUCCUGCUUAAAGGUCUCUGAGAAAGAUGCCAAAAGAACCGGCUCCUGCCAUUCUCUGCUUGCUGCAGAGUAAACCCAAGGAGCCUGACAUGUAUGCAUCUUUUCCCAUCCCACCCUCUCCCUGUGGUGUCCCAGUGUGUCUGCCAGACACAGGAAGAUGCGAUGUGUUCUGCUGCUCGGAACAGCAGCACUUUUUGCGCUUCUGCAGCACAGAGCGAUUCCUUUACCCGACGUGAUCGGAUGUUUCUUCACCUGCACUCAGGCCAAGCCAUGGAUUUUCCCUCCAUUAUACGGAGGAAGGGAAACUGCUCCGAACGGAGAAUUACUCCCAACAACACCGACGUGUCUCCGAGGCUCUCUACGCGUAAGCUUUUCCUGCUCCUUGCAAGGAGCCGCCUGACGCCUGCAGCGCCGGGGCGGUCCUGCUGCGCGGCAUCCGGCGCCCCGGGAGCGGGGCUGGAAGGCAGCUUCCCCUCACGGCUCCCGUUCCGCCCUGACGCGGC
This is a long non-coding RNA of Taeniopygia guttata (zebra finch), 7925 nucleotides long. The record is from Ensembl. Lineage: Eukaryota; Metazoa; Chordata; Aves; Passeriformes; Estrildidae.